This 89-nucleotide unclassified non-coding RNA is filed under the name Pseudomonas mediterranea. The record is from RNAcentral. Lineage: Bacteria; Pseudomonadati; Pseudomonadota; Gammaproteobacteria; Pseudomonadales; Pseudomonadaceae.
UGUGGGAGCGAGCCUGCUCGCGAUGGCGUCGGUACAUUCAACCUUUAAGCGACUGAUCCACCGCUAUCGCGAGCAGGCUCGCUCCCACA